Molecule: ribosomal RNA, 423 nt
Filed under: uncultured bacterium
Lineage: Bacteria
Description: bacterial SSU rRNA
Rfam family: Bacterial small subunit ribosomal RNA
Source: RNAcentral
UAAGGAAUAUUGGUCAAUGGGCGCAAGCCUGAACCAGCCAUGCCGCGUGCAGGAAGACGGCCCUAUGGGUUGUAAACUGCUUUUGUCAGGGAAUAAACCCCCGCUCGUGAGCGGGGCUGAAGGUACCUGAAGAAUAAGCAUCGGCUAACUCCGUGCCAGCAGCCGCGGUAAUACGGAGGAUGCAAGCGUUAUCCGGAUUCAUUGGGUUUAAAGGGUGCGCAGGCGGAUUGGUAAGUCAGGGGUGAAAUCCCACAGCUCAACUGUGGAACUGCCUUUGAUACUGUCAGUCUAGAGUAUAGUUGAAGUGGGCGGAAUGUGUCAUGUAGCGGUGAAGUGCUUAGAUAUGACACAGAACACCGAUCGCGAAGGCAGCUCGCCAAGCUAUAACUGACGCUCGUGCACGAAAGCGUGGGGAUCAAACAG